AUCGCCCGGCCGCAAGCAGCGGAAAACGAACCCAUCUUUCCUACUUAACCCCCGCGCUUUUCCAGUAAUCCAGAGACACCGCGGCAAGAGAGGAGACGCGGCGGCGGCCAUGGCGAUUCCCCUCGUGCUCGUCCUGCUCCCGCUCGGCCUCCUCUUCCUCCUCUCCGGCCUCGUCGUCAACACUGUCCAGGCCGUAUUGUUCUUGACGAUAAGGCCAUUCUCGAAGCGAUUGUACCGGCAGAUCAACGUAUUCCUGGCCGAGUUGUUAUGGCUUCAGCUGAUCUGGCUUGUGGACUGGUGGGCAGGUAUUAAGGUACAGGUGUAUGCGGAUCCAGCAACUUGGAAACUAAUGGGCAAAGAGCACGCCCUUCUAAUAUCCAAUCAUCGAAGUGACAUUGAUUGGCUGGUUGGAUGGAUUUUAGCACAGCGUUCAGGAUGUCUUGGAAGCGCAAUAGCUAUAAUGAAGAAAUCCUCAAAGUUCCUUCCAGUUAUUGGUUGGUCCAUGUGGUUUGCAGAGUACCUCUUUUUGGAGAGAAGCUGGGCAAAGGAUGAAAAAACACUUAAAUCGGGUCUUCAAAGGUUGAAAGACUUCCCCAGAUCAUUUUGGCUUGCCCUUUUUGUUGAGGGUACAAGAUUUACUCCAGCAAAACUUUUAGCAGCUCAAGAAUAUGCAGUCUCACAGGGUUUGACAGCACCUAGGAAUGUGCUGAUUCCACGAACAAAGGGAUUUGUAUCAGCUGUAAGUAUUAUGCGUGACUUUGUCCCAGCUAUCUACGAUACAACAGUGAUUAUUCCGGAAGAUUCGCCUAAACCAACAAUACUGCGUAUUCUUCAGGGACAAUCAUCAGUUGUUCAUGUCCGCAUAAAACGCCAUUCAAUGGGUGAUAUGCCUAACUCGGAUGAGGAUGUUUCAAAAUGGUGCAAAGAUAUAUUUGUAGCAAAGGACGCGUUAUUGGACAAACAUAUAGCAACUGGUACUUUUGAUGAGGAAAUUAUACCAAUUGGUCGUCCAGUGAAAUCUUUGAUGGUGGUCCUGUCUUGGUCAUGUUUCCUCCUAUAUGGUGCUCAUAGAUUCUUACAGUGGACCCAGCUCUUGUCAACAUGGAAAGGAGUGAUCCUCUUUGCUUCUGGAUUGGCAAUGGUGACUGCCGUUAUGCAUGUAUUCAUCAUGUUCUCGCAGGCCGAGCGCUCAAGCUCCGCUAAAGCAGCAAGGGACCGAGUGAAGAAGGAUUGAUAGCUCGUGUGAAAUUCAGUCUAUAGGGGAACUGCCAAUUUAUUAUGUUCAGAAUAUAUGUAGACACAGGCUCCAUGGGUGAAAUCUAGUAUGUCCUUGUUGUCCUCGGUAAGAGCUUCAGGAAUUUUGUGUGGCGAGAACUGUGAGCUUUCUUCCUUCUUUCUCUACUUUGUAAUGACUUGUAAAGAUUUGCUUUGCCAUACCAGGAAUCGCUGCUCGAAUUUAUCGAAGCUUUUUUUUUUAUCACUGUUCAGGCAAUCCUUGGUACAGAUUGCUAUUGCCAACCUGGUUAUUCUGCGCUUUGGUGUUGCUAUGACAUCGUGUCUGCGCUGGCUCAAGGAGGGAAAUGUGAACGCCAAACUUUUUCACCUCGUGGCUAAUGGACGAGUGUGCUAAGGGCAUCCCAUCUCUUUGUUCUGGUUCCGACCUGAUCUUGGACCAAAAGGUUAUAGAUGAGGUGUUCUUCUAGUUCCAGGCAUAUGAUUUGAGAUAUGUGCGCUGCGCAUUGAAGCGGCAUUCUAC
Molecule: ribosomal RNA, 1756 nt
Filed under: Triticum aestivum (bread wheat)
Lineage: Eukaryota; Viridiplantae; Streptophyta; Magnoliopsida; Poales; Poaceae
Description: partial small subunit ribosomal RNA
Source: RNAcentral